RNAcentral lists this ribosomal RNA (253 nucleotides) under uncultured bacterium. RNAcentral's name for it is "partial 16S ribosomal RNA". It matches the Rfam family "Bacterial small subunit ribosomal RNA", at positions 524 to 776 of the family's 1533-position model. The record is from RNAcentral.
UACGUAGGGUGCAAGCGUUAAUCGGAAUUACUGGGCGUAAAGCGUGCGCAGGCGGUUAUGCAAGACAGAUGUGAAAUCCCCGGGCUCAACCUGGGAACUGCAUUUGUGACUGCAUGGCUAGAGUACGGUAGAGGGGGAUGGAAUUCCGCGUGUAGCAGUGAAAUGCGUAGAUAUCAGGAGGAAUACCGAUGGCGGAGGCAGGUCUCUGGGCUGACACUGACGCUCAUGCACGAAAGCGUGGGGAGCAAACAGG